GAUGAACGCUGGCGGCGUGCUUAAGACAUGCAAGUCGAACGCAGGACUAGUCGCAAGACGGGUUCUGAGUGGCGAAUGGGUGCGUAACACGUAGGUGACCUGCCCGGAAGUGGGGAAUAACAGUUCGAAAGGACUGCUAAUACCGCAUACGGUCCACGGCUCCAGACGGCCGGGGACCAAAGGUGAUCGCAAGAUUGCCGCUUUCGGAGGGGCCUGCGGCCCAUCAGCUAGUUGGUAGGGUAAUGGCCUACCAAGGCGACGACGGGUAGG
Molecule: ribosomal RNA, 270 nt
Filed under: uncultured bacterium
Lineage: Bacteria
Description: partial 16S ribosomal RNA
Rfam family: Bacterial small subunit ribosomal RNA
Source: RNAcentral